Molecule: non-coding RNA, 447 nt
Organism: Paramuricea clavata
Lineage: Eukaryota; Metazoa; Cnidaria; Anthozoa; Malacalcyonacea; Plexauridae
Source: the annotation of a GenBank genome assembly
AUCGCUAUGCAAAUAAACAAAGAACCAUUCUAAUUGAAUAUUUAAAAAUAAUAAAUAUUACUUGCCAUUAGAAACAUGAACGACCAACACAUUCAAUGAUGUAAUGUUUUCUGCCUGGCACUGAUAUUCACCGUUAUCUGAUGAAGUCAGGUUAAUUAGUCUAAAUAUUUGAUUAAACUGCUGAACGUGACGGCCAUUGGGAACGAUCUGACGGUAAUCAGUUUUGCUUCCCGACGAUUUCCACAAUGUUACAUUUAUGGUGGGAUCACUUAGGGUACAAUUGAUCCCAAUCACAUCACCAACUUGGAAAUUGAAAUUAAGUUCUGUUUUUUGAAGCCAAUUACUUGCUGAAUCUGAAAUUAACAAGAAUGCAUGAUGUAGUCAGUUGGUAAACAGCACAUACUGCAUCUGGAUGCUGGUAGAUAUUACAGUAUACAGGAUCUGAAG